RNAcentral lists this long non-coding RNA (2817 nucleotides) under Homo sapiens (human). RNAcentral's name for it is "HSALNT0084033". Lineage: Eukaryota; Metazoa; Chordata; Mammalia; Primates; Hominidae. The record is from RNAcentral.
CCCGGCUCACUGCAAGCUCCGCCUUCCGUGUUCACUCCAUUCUCUGUGGCCCAGGCUGGAGUGCAGUGGCGCAAUCUCGGCUCACUGCAAGCUCCGCCUUCCGUGUUCACUCCAUUCUCUGUCGCCCAGGCUGGAGUGCAGUGGCGCAACCUCGGCUCACUGCAAGCUCCGCCUUCCGGGUUCCCGCCAUUCUCCUGCCUCAGCCUCCAGAGUAGCUGGGACUACAGGCGCCCGCCACCACGCCCGGCUAAUUUUUUGUAUUUUUAGUAGAGACGGGGUUUCACCGUGGUCUCGAUCUCGUGACCUCUUGAUCCGCCCGCCUCGGCCUCCCAAAGUGCUGGGAUUACAGGCGUGAGCCACCGCGCCCGGCGCAGGGCGUGCCCAGGGCUUCUGAUGCCAGAGCCCAGGAAUGAGCUUUUGCCUUUUGGAUUCAGGGCUUCCCUGUACUCUCACAGAGUCAGAAUGGCCGUAUGUUUACAUGUGAAGCCCUGGGGCUCCCUGGCCCCUUCCUGGGCCGUUCUCCACCUUUUCUCUUCUCACCCUUUGCUGUUCCCUGAGUCAUGCAAUCCAUAGUGAAGAGGCCAGAGGCCCGGAUGGGGAAGUGCCGGGGGCAGCCGUGGCAGCUUCAUCACAGAGCUCCUGGGGACUGAUGCACACAGCUGUGGAAAUGAUAGUAAGGCUCUUUGUUAGAGCUCUUGUGGCUGCCUGGAGAUGAUGCUGCCUUGGCCAUGGCCUGCUGUUAUCCUCGGGGAGCUGGGACGUGGGCACAGGGGCAUGCAUUUCCCCCUCAGCACUAGCUCCAAGGGACAAUGUGCAGCACUUGCUGAGGGCAGAAGAAAAUGGAAAACAAAGACAAACAAACCAAAGAAGGCGGAUGAAGUAGAAGCCAUUCAUUCUUUCCAUGAACAUUGACCCUAUAUCCUGAAGGUGGAUCCAAUGAAAAAAGAGAAGCAGCAAGAGUGGCUUCUGUUUCCCUGGCUGGACUCUGAGUAAUAUAGCAGCAAUAAUUUCCCAAGGGAAAGGAGGAAGACGGGUUGGCUCCAAUGAAGACACUUAUGAUGUGAAGAGUUCCCGUAACAGUUCACCAUCUCUGGGGCAGUUAUACAACAGGGAUCCCUGACUUCUUCAGAACCGAGAGUUCAAAUCAGGACUAUCUGGUGAUGAAUCUAUCCACUAGAAGCUGAUACUUCAGAUUAUGACAAGGGUUGAAAGAGCCUCACCAUAUUGGCUGCUUAAGAACAAAAGAAGGUAUUGAUAAGGAGGUAAUGAAGAGAGAAAUACAGUCUAAAAUAUAAUCUGUAGUUUGUUUGGUCAACUAUAACAGAAAGAAAUUGAGGCAGAGAGGUUAUGGACCAUCCUUUCUCAUCCCCACCUCCACUCUGCACCCUGUGUAGACCAGGAGACUGAAGUGAAAGCUCUUGAGUUUGACUUCUUUCUCCCAACAUAUCCACCCUGGCUUAUAAACACCACCUCAUGAGCUAACUAACUAACUUUCAUCAUUAGAAAGGUGAAAUGAGGCAAUCCCUCUAAGAUCCAUCACUGAAUCAAGAGUUAAGUAAGAACCCCCACACUCUGCCUCAUUUUGAGAUUUUUGGCAAAUAAGACUGAUUUUAUUUCUUUAUAUUGUUAUUGUACAUAAAGUAAAACAAGACAAUAUUUGGGCAGCACAUGAGGCAGAAAACACAGAUGAGGCAAUGAUUGAUCUAGACAAUUUGUAAAGACAUCGCUAUUAUUUCAGAUCAAACAGAUGAGCAAGAACACAUACCCAUGGAGAGGUUAAUUGAUAGGAUCAGUGAAAAGCUCUAUGGGCAUUGAGACACAAUGAGAUAUUGAGAUCAUUACAAAGGCAUUGCUGUGAACUCUUCUUUGGAAAACAUCCAUCCCAUUUAUUAAAAGAGUUGAAUUCAUCUCCCUUUUUAUGUGUUACAACAGAGAAAGAUGACCUUGCAGAUUGUCUAGAAGUAUUAUAUCUGACAGCACACAUGGGAGACUCUUUAUGGUUGGAAAAGCCACUGCAGAUCUUUGUGUCUUAACAUUUCUAACUCAAAAUAACAAAACAGGGAAAAUGAUUUAGGUUCCUUGGGAUGAAAAGACUCUCCAGUUGUGCAAGUAUGAAUAUAUAAUUAUAAAAUUAUACAUGUGUACAGAAAGUAUUAUUUGUAAUUGUGUUCAUAUUUAUUUAUUUUGAUACCUACUGCUAACUUAUCUAGGAUUAAAGAUGGGAAACUAACUGAACUGUACAAUUUCUUCUGAAUACAUGAGACCUGUUGGUCAUUUUUAGAUUAGAGACACAAUGUUGGUAAGCAAAGAAGGCUUCCUGAAAUCCAAACAGGACUGCUUCCUUUUAGAACAAGGCUAGUGCAGAAUCACCUCCUUUUUAUCCGCAGGCCAAGUCCUGCUUCCAGGUAGGUUUUCUUUAUCCCAACUGAUGAUUACAGAAAGUUUGUACUAACAUUUAAAUAUUAGGAGUAUUCACGUAACAACUUGGAUAUUUAUCUCCUCUUGGAAAUCAGAGGAUCUGACCACAGAGAGGUCUUAAAUCCCCAGAGGGUCACCACUGGCUCAAAGCAAACAGUGGUUCCCUUUCCUUUCAGUUUGCAGUAGGUACCAACCUGCCCACUAUUCAUGCACUCAACUGCCUGCUCCUGUAGGAAUGCAAGUUUGUUACCUUUUGUCUAGGGAUUGGAUUUCAGCUUUACAAGUUCAAAAACUUUAUUUAAAUUCAUAAAAGGUUUGGUCCAGCAUAAAACAUCUGUUUCGCAGUAUCCAAAGAUUCCACCUGACAAACAAAAUGCCCAUUUGUUAACUUAUCAUUAG